Molecule: ribosomal RNA, 253 nt
Filed under: uncultured bacterium
Lineage: Bacteria
Description: partial 16S ribosomal RNA
Rfam family: Bacterial small subunit ribosomal RNA
Source: RNAcentral
UACAGAGAGUGCAAGCGUUAAUCGGAAUUACUGGGCGUAAAGCGUGCGUAGGUGGAUACUUAAGUCGGAUGUGAAAGCCCUGGGCUUAACCUAGGAAUUGCAUUCGAUACUGUGUGUCUAGAGUAUGGUAGAGGGAAGUGGAAUUUCCGGUGUAGCGGUGAAAUGCGUAGAUAUCGGAAAGAACACCAGUGGCGAAGGCGGCUUCCUGGACCAAUACUGACACUGAAGCACGAAAGCGUGGGGAGCAAACAGG